Molecule: ribosomal RNA, 3701 nt
Filed under: Pseudothermotoga hypogea
Lineage: Bacteria; Thermotogati; Thermotogota; Thermotogae; Thermotogales; Thermotogaceae
Description: 23S ribosomal RNA
Rfam family: Bacterial large subunit ribosomal RNA
Source: RNAcentral
AGGUCAAGGUACUAAGGGCAUGCGGUGGAUGCCUUGGCGGCGGGAGGCGACGAAGGGCGUGGUAAGCUGCGAUAAGCCCCGGGGAGCCGCAAACAGGCGUUGAUCCGGGGAUUCCCGAAUGGGGAAACCCAACUGGUCGUGAGACCAGUUGCCGCCGAAAGGCGGUGCGACACCGGGGGAAGUGAAACAUCUCAGUACCCCGAGGAAAAGAAAUCAAACGAGAUUCCCUGAGUAGCGGCGAGCGAAAGGGGAGGAGCCUAAACCAGUGCAAUGCUCAAGCCCGUGGGCGUUGUUGCACUGGGGUUGUGGGGCGCAACCGGGCGAGGCCACGGACUCGCCGGGAAGUUACAAAUCCUCUAUCUAGCCGAAGUGCCUGGGAUGGCACGCCAGAGAGGGUGAAAGCCCCGUAGGCGAAAGGUAGAGGACUUCCUGGGUUGCGACCCCGAGUACCGCGGGACCCGUGGAAUCCUGCGGGAAUCAGGGGGGACCACCCUCCAAGGCUAAAUACUACCCGCCGUCCGAUAGCGCACUAGUACCGUGAGGGAAAGGUGAAAAGAACCCCGGGAGGGGAGUGAAACAGAACCUGAAACCGCAUGCCUACACUAAGUCGGAGCCCGUAAGGGUGACGGCGUGCCUUUUGCUUAAUGAGUCCGCGAGUUGCCGUCAGUGGCGAGGUUAAGCCGAACAAGGCGUAGCCGUAGCGAAAGCGAGUCCGAAUAGGGCGUUAGUCACUGGCGGCAGACCCGAAGCCGGGUGAGCUACCCCUGGGCAGGAUGAAGGUGGGCUAAACCCCACUGGAGGUCCGAACCGGUGGACAGUGAAAAGUCCUCGGAUGACCUGGGGGUAGGAGUGAAAAGCUAACCGAACCCGGUGAUAGCUGGUUCUCCCCGAAACGCAUUGAGGUGCGGCCUCGGGUGGUCUGUGCAGGGGGUAGAGCACUGAUAGGGCUAGGGGGGUAACCUCCGAACCCUGUCAAACUCCGAAUCCCUGCACAUAAAGCCCGGGAGAAAGACUGUGGGGGAUAAGCUCCAUGGUCAAAAGGGGAACAGCCCAGACCGCCGGCUAAGGGCCCGGAGAGGUGGCUAAGUGGUAAAGGAUGUGGCGCACCUAAGACAACUGGGAGGUUGGCUUAGAAGCAGCCAUCCUUUAAAGAGUGCGUAACAGCUCACCAGUCGAGGUGCGCUGCGCCGAAGAUGUAACGGGGCUCAAGCCACCCCCCGAAGCCGCGGGUCUGCACCGAUGAGGUGCAGGCGGUAGGGGAGCUUUCCGCUGUAGGGUGAAGGCAGACCCGCGAGGGCUGCUGGACGAGGCGGAAGUGAGAAUGCGGACAUGAGUAUGCGAGAGGAGAGUGAGAAUCUCUCCCCCCGUAAGCCCAAGGGUACCUGGGGAAGGGUCGUCCUCCCAGGGUUAGCCGGUACCCUAAGGUAAACCCGAAAGGGGUAGCCGAAGGGAAGCUGGUUAAUAUUCCAGCGCCACCUGCAAUCGAGGUGCAAGGGGUGACGCAGGAGGGUAGGCACCGAGGGUAAGUGGCAUUCCCUUCCAAGCGGUUAGGGCGUUGAUGGGUGUAGGUAAAUCCGCACCCGGAGCCUGAGCCGUGAUGGGGAGGGCCCGUGAGGGUCCAACGGUGCUGACCCCACACUGCCGAGAAAAUCCUCGUGCACCGUUUGAGAUUGCAGGUGACCGUUCCGCAAACCGACACAGGUGGGCGGGCUGAGAAGGCUCAGGGGAGCGGGAUAACCCUCGCCAAGGAACUCGGCAAGUUGACCCCGUAACUUCGGGAGAUGGGGUGCCGCGGUAGGGUGAACCCAGGGGAAGGGGCAACCCGGAAACUGGGGGAGCCCGAGGCGGUCGCAGAGACCAGGCCCUGGCGACUGUUUACCAAAAACACAGGCCUCUGCAAACUCGUAAAGAGGAUGUAUAGGGGCUGACGCCUGCCCAGUGCCGGAAGGUUAAGGGGAGGGGUGAGGCCGUAAGGCGUAGCUCCGACCCGAAGCCCCGGUAAACGGCGGCCGUAACUAUAACGGUCCUAAGGUAGCUGUGCUGCCUGCCUGCAGGGUAACCUGCAGGGCAAUACCCGGCUGUAUGCGGGAAAACCCUUAGAGCUCUUCCUACUUGGAGAAGGNUUUCUCCAAGUAAAAAUGGAAGAGAUUGGGCAACCCGCAGGAAACCCCGAAAGGGGGAUCCUCAGAGACUGUACGCCGGGCAUCCAGCUUUCCAGUGAGGUGCAGUGUGGUGGAACUUCAUCCAGAGUGGGUCGUCGGAUUUGUCGAUGGAGAAGGAUGUUUCUAUGUAGGUGUGAACAAGAACAAGACGAUGAGCGUGGGCUAUCAGGUGUUGCCUGAGUUCAGAGUCGUUCAGCACCAGCGAGACAUCCAGGUUCUUUAUGCGCUCAAGCGCUUCUUUGGAUGCGGUACGGUCAGAAGAAACCACGAAGACAGAUACGAGCUCAGGAUAAGGAAAAUCGAGUGCUUGAAAAAGGUCGUUGAAUUUUUCCAAAAGCACCCACUCAAAACAAAGAAGAAUGUUGAUCUCAAGAAAUUUAGCAAGAUCAUCAAAAUGAUGGAAGAAGGAAGGCACCUCACAAAGGAAGGCCUGAUAGAAAUCGUUCAGAUAGCUCUCGAGAUGAACACGGGAAAACGCGAUAAUCUGAGGCGAAUACUGGACGAUCUGACAGGGAAAGCUGGAUGAAGAUACAGUCCACCCUUGGUUCGAAAGACCAAGAUGAUGGUGAGCGAAAUACCUUGUCGGGUAAGUUCCGACCUGCAUGAAUGGCGUAACGACUGGGGCGCUGUCUCGGCGAGGGGCCCGGUGAAAUUUCAGUGAGGGUGAAGAUGCCCUCAACCUGCGGCUAGACGGAAAGACCCCGUGGAGCUUCACUGCAGCCUGGUAUUGGAUUCUGGCACACCGUGUACAGGAUAGGUGGGAGGCUGUGAACCCGGCUCGCCAGGGUCGGGGGAGCCACCGGUGGGAUACCACCCUCGGUGUGUCGGAAUUCUAACCUGAACCUGUGAAGAGCAGGUUGGGGACAGUGCCAGGUGGGCAGUUUGACUGGGGCGGUCGCCUCCUAAAGAGUAACGGAGGCGCGCGAAGGUCGGCUCAGGUGGGUUGGAAAUCCACCGUUGAGUGCAAGGGCAUAAGCCGGCCUGACUGUGAGGCCGACGGGCCGAGCAGAGGGGAAACCCGGCCCUAGUGACCCGACGACUCCGGGUGGAAGGGUCGUCGACAACGGACAAAAGUUACCCCGGGGAUAACAGGCUAGUCUCGCCCGAGAGUUCACAUCGACGGCGAGGAUCGGCACCUCGAUGUCGGCUCAUCCCAUCCUGGGGCUGAAGCAGGUCCCAAGGGUUAGGCUGUCCGCCUAUUAAAGGGGUACGUGAGCUGGGUUCAGACCGUCGCAAGACAGGUCGGUCCCUAUCGGCCGCAGGCGCAGGAGGUUUGAGGGGGGUCACCCCUUGUACGAGAGGACCGGGGUGAGCGGGCCUCUGGUGUACCGGCUGUCCUGCCAAGGGCAUUAGCCGGGUAGCUAUGCCCGUGAGCGAUAACCGCUGAAGGCAUCUAAGCGGGAAGCGCGCCCCAAGAUUAGACCUCCCAUCCCGUUAAGGGAGUAAGGCCGGUCCGAGAACAGGACCUUGAUAGGCCGGUGGUGUAAGCGCCGCAAGGCGUUGAGCCAACCGGUACUAAUCGGCCGAGGCCUUGACCUC